RNAcentral lists this ribosomal RNA (253 nucleotides) under uncultured bacterium. Its description in RNAcentral is "partial 16S ribosomal RNA". It matches the Rfam family "Bacterial small subunit ribosomal RNA", at positions 524 to 776 of the family's 1533-position model. The record is from RNAcentral.
GACAGAGGGUGCAAACGUUGUUCGGAAUUACUGGGCGUAAAGCGCGUGUAGGCGGCUAUGUAAGUCGGGCGUGAAAUCCCACGGCUCAACCGUGGAAGUGCACCCGAAACUGCGUAGCUAGAGUCCUGGAGAGGAAGGUGGAAUGCUUGGUGUAGAGGUGAAAUUCGUAGAUAUCAAGCGGAACACCGGUGGCGAAGGCGGCCUUCUGGACAGUGACUGACGCUCAUGCACGAAAGCGUGGGGAGCAAACAGG